This 374-nucleotide ribosomal RNA is filed under the name uncultured organism. RNAcentral describes it as "partial 16S ribosomal RNA". It matches the Rfam family "Bacterial small subunit ribosomal RNA", at positions 527 to 896 of the family's 1533-position model. The record is from RNAcentral.
GUAGGUGGCAAGCGUUGUCCGGAAUUAUUGGGCGUAAAGCGCGCGCAGGCGGUCCUUUAAGUCUGAUGGUGAAAGCCCACGGGCUCAACCGUGGAGGGUCAUUGGAAACUGGGGGACUUGAGUACAGAAGAGGAAAGCGGAAUUCCAAGUGUAGCGGUGAAAUGCGUAGAGAUUUGGAGGAACACCAGUGGCGAAGGCGGCUUUCUGGUCUGUAACUGACGCUGAGGCGCGAAAGCGUGGGGAGCAAACAGGAUUAGAUACCCUGGUAGUCCACGCCGUAAACGAUGAGUGCUAAGUGUUAGGGGGUUUCCGCCCCUCAGUGCUGCAGCGAACGCAUUAAGCACUCCGCCUGGGGAGUACGGCCGCAAAGGCUG